Molecule: unclassified non-coding RNA, 305 nt
Filed under: Hevea brasiliensis (rubber tree)
Lineage: Eukaryota; Viridiplantae; Streptophyta; Magnoliopsida; Malpighiales; Euphorbiaceae
Source: RNAcentral
AUAACCAUGGCAAUCAUCGUCAUCAUCAAGAACAUUUUGCUGAUGAGAGGGCUGUUAAACUAUAUCUGUCUAACAAAAGCAUAGGAAACUUCAUUGGCUAAAUUGAACUUAAGAGAAAAGAGAAUAACCACCCUCAGAAAAUCACUACCUUUCUCGAGUUCAAUAAAAUGCCUCAUUUACUGAACACAGAGAUAUACUUGGAGGCUCAGAUUUGCCUUUUGUCAUUCAAAAAGCUAAACAAUGGACAUGGGCGCAUGGCUGCAAGCAUUAAUAGUCCAGUAAGAUAGUUCCCAUAUCUCACGGAG